AUACUAUACUGUUUCCAUUUUCAAGCCAAGUAUAAUUUGCUGAGCUCUCUCCAUCUCCCCUACUACUCAGAUAUUUGUCAGCACACUUUUGACUAAAAUGGCAAAUUCAGUCCAACUGCUUUCAUAUACAACCAACUGUUGCUGUAUAUUUAUAACUUUGAUCUUGAUAGCUUAUACUAUAAACUUUGUCUCUUUUAAAUCUCUAUUCUUUUGGCAUAUUGUCUGCAUGGUUCUUUCGUAUGCCCUGAUUAUGUCUCAAGCAAUUUUACUACUGAUCAAUCAGUAUGGCAUUUUUUGCUAUUUUGUCAACCUUAACAAAAUGCAAAAAGUCACCUUACAUUUCAUACUUCAGCUUCUGGCCGCAGCCCUGUAUAUUGCUGGAUCCCUCUGCAUCUAUAUAAAUAAAAAAAAUUAUAAUAAACCUCAUUUUACAACCUGGCAUGGCAAGUUUGGUCUGUCAACAAACGUGAUAAUGGUGUCGCAACUAUUUUUAGGAUUAUACAUGUAUUGCUUGUCAAAAGCCUAUUUCAAUCCAAUCUUUGAAAAACGAAAAAUAGGCAUUUCCUUGAGAUCACUUCAUCGGCUAAUCUCGGUUACAGGGUUUGUUUUAGGUAUUUGGAGUUUUAUGUUGGCUAUGCAAUCAAAUUUUGUCAAAGAAACUUUCCCUGAAACUAUAACAUUUAUGAUUUUAACGUUUUUGGCCUUCUUGGGAUCAGCUGUUUUUACGAUGGGCUCAAAGCUUCUUUACAAACCUAUCCAGCAACCGCUACUGGUUCCGUCAUAGAAGACAUUUAAUACUAGCCAUUUUUUGACCUAAAACCUUGUUUGGUUUCCCGUAUUCUGAGGAAAUAAACAACAUGGUUACUCUAGUAUCCAAUAACGGGAGCAAUACUUGUCUUAAUUCCCCAAAAUUUAAUAUCGAGACUUAUCAUCUGGCAAGCAAACGAUUUAUCAUAUAUUCCUAAGAUUUGUUAUUUGCGA
This is a long non-coding RNA of Schistocerca gregaria, 981 nucleotides long. RefSeq lists it as uncharacterized. The record is from RefSeq and is a predicted model, not a curated record. The transcript has 4 exons. Lineage: Eukaryota; Metazoa; Arthropoda; Insecta; Orthoptera; Acrididae.